CAGUAGCCGCGGUAAAACGAAGGGUGCAAGCGUUAAUCGGAAUUACUGGGCGUAAAGCGCGCGUAGGUGGUUUGGUAAGAUGGAUGUGAAAUCCCCGGGCUCAACCUGGGAACUGCAUCCAUUACUGCCUGACUAGAGUACGGUAGAGGGUGGUGGAAUUUCCUGUGUAGCGGUGAAAUGCGUAGAUAUAGGAAGGAACACCAGUGGCGAAGGCGACCACCUGGACUGAUACUGACACUGAGGUGCGAAAGCGUGGGGAGCAAACAGGAUUAGAUACCCCUGUAGUCCCUGUCUCUUAUAA
Molecule: ribosomal RNA, 301 nt
Filed under: uncultured bacterium
Lineage: Bacteria
Description: partial 16S ribosomal RNA
Rfam family: Bacterial small subunit ribosomal RNA
Source: RNAcentral